GAUGAACGCUGGCGGCGUGCCUAAUACAUGCAAGUCGAACGAAGUGAAGAGGAGCUUGCUCCUUGGAACUUAGUGGCGAACGGGUGAGUAAUACAUAAGCAACCUGCCUCGAUGCCUGGGAUAACAGAGGGAAACUUCUGCUAAUACCGGAUACGUUAAUCUAAGACAUCUUAGAUUAAUUAAAGAUGGGAUACAUCACAACGAGAUGGGCUUAUGGCGCAUUAGUUAGUUGGUAAGGUAACGGCUUACCAAGACGAUGAUGCGUAGCCGACCUGAGAGGGUGACCGGCCACACUGGGACUGAGACACGGCCCAGACUCCUACGGGAGGCAGCAGUAGGGAAUUUUCGGCAAUGGGGGAAACCCUGACCGAGCAACGCCGCGUGAGUGAAGACGGCCUUCGGGUUGUAAAGCUCUGUUGUAAGGGAAGAACGAUAGGAAGAGGGAAUGCUUUCUAUAUGACGGUACCUUACCAGAAAGCCACGGCUAACUACGUGCCAGCAGCCGCGGUAAUACGUAGGUGGCAAGCGUUAUCCGGAAUUAUUGGGCGUAAAGGGAGCGCAGGCGGUUUAUCAAGUUUAUGGUUAAAGUUCGGGGCUUAACCCCGUGAUGCCAUAGAAACUGGUAGACUAGAGUGCAGGAGAGGUUAGUGGAAUUCCAUGUGUAGCGGUAAAAUGCGUAGAUAUAUGGAGGAACACCAGUGGCGAAGGCGGCUAACUGGCCUGUAACUGACGCUGAGGCUCGAAAGCGUGGGGGAGCAAAUAGG
This 764-nucleotide ribosomal RNA is filed under the name uncultured bacterium. Its description in RNAcentral is "bacterial SSU rRNA". It matches the Rfam family "Bacterial small subunit ribosomal RNA", at positions 28 to 776 of the family's 1533-position model. The record is from RNAcentral.